This 1764-nucleotide long non-coding RNA is filed under the name Carica papaya (papaya). Its description in RNAcentral is "long non-coding RNA (CPAP_LNC001134)". Lineage: Eukaryota; Viridiplantae; Streptophyta; Magnoliopsida; Brassicales; Caricaceae. The record is from RNAcentral.
AAAUCAAGGCCGAAUCGCCCCCCACACUAGAAAGGUAAAGCUUUUUUGCAUUUUUUGGUGGUUGUGAGCAGCGGUGGAGCGGGGUUGGUGUCAGGCUAGCCGCACGAGCUCGACCAGGCCCCCCACUUGCGUUGGAACUGUGGAGGUUUCCUUGGGAAUGGGAAAAACCGACCCAUUCAGGAAGCCGAAGGGUAUUCCCUGAGCGUGAAAAAUCGAUCCACCAUUUUGAAUUCUGAUUUGCUGUUUGGGAAGCUGAAAAGUCUUCCUCAAAAAAUAGGAAUCCGGUUUACCGUCCAGGAAGCCAAAAAGUCUUUCUCGAAAAAUAAAAAUAUGAUUCGCCAAACAGAGAGUCGAAAGAUUUUUCGGAUACGGAUCCUGAUAGAUUCAGGUAUUUUGUUAGGUGGUCGUUGGAAUCCAUAAAUUGAUUAAAUUAAUUUUUGGUAUUUCGAAGUAUUUUAAUUAAUUAUGUCGUGUAUACAGAAAAAUUUAGACAUUCAGACGGAUUCAGGAAGACGUGUAGGAGAGUAAGUAUUUCUAAAUCUCAACCGGGUUUGAAUUUUUUGGAAUAUGCAUUCAUUUCAUUAAAUUAUAAAUUUUAAAAUUUGAACAGACAUUGACCUAAUUUUUGAUAAAAAAUAGAAUCCAAAUUAUGAUUAGUAAAUCUAAGCAAUUAGAACCCUAUGAGGAGACGAAACCAGAAAACAAACCCAAUGGAUUGAGAAUUAUUUGGACUGAUGAAAUCUGAAAUUAAAAAGAAAAAUUCCCAAAUAAGGAAAAAUUGAAAAAAAAUAAAAUAAAAUAAAAAUACAAAAAUAGAAAGGAAAAGAAAUAAUUGAGUAUAAGAAAUUGAUCAUUUAAAUAAAUUGAGAAUUUUAGAAUGAGAAGUAGGAGUGAAUAGGAUAGGGACCCUGAAUACCUUCUCGUUUAGUCUGAAUCGAGGUGGGGAGUGUGUGUGUAGCUAAAAUUCUGCGGACAUGGUAAACCUGUAUAUGUAUAUAGUCUGAAACCUAAAUCCAGACGUGGAUAGGCAUUCGUGUGAAUGUGGGCCACCUAGCAAACGUACCUGCUGCGGCCAUUGUGUAAUUUAUGUGUGUGCUAUUCAUAAGAUGGAGGGAUCCAUUUCGCCUUUUCUUGAUGAUGACAUAAACGGCAUUGCGCAAUGAAACUAUAGAAAUGACCAUUCAAGUGCAUCUAUGAUCUUUUUUUUAUAUGUGUGAUUAUGUUUCGAGAUUAUGAAUGAUAUUCGAAUGUAUCUGUGAUCUUUUGUAUGUGUGAUUAUGUUUCGAAAUGAUGAUUGAUAUUCGAGUGCAUUUAUGACUUUCGAGAGUAUGAGAAUAUAUAUUUGAGGUUUGUAUAUGAUAUUCGAAAGAAUUCAUCAGAUCGAUCAGAAACAUGUGAAAUAGUGAAAAUAAGAAUAUGGAAAUUGUAUUGAAAUAUUUUUAUUACUUUUGUUUCUUACCAUAUGUUUUUCAUGAAAUUUUAUCUAGGUUGAGAGAAUGAGAAUAUUUAUUGAGUUGGUGAAACACAUUAAAUUUUAUCCUGAUAUUUUUCAGAUAAGAAUGAAGAGCCAGUAUCGCUGUCAGACGAGUAGAACUUGUAAAAGAGUUUUUAUUUUUGUAUAUAUUGUGCGUAUUCGAAAAGUUUUAUUUUAUUAUGUUAGACUCUAAAUUUUAACAUUAUAUUAUAUAUAUAAUUACUGUACAUAUUACAUGGGAUAUUAGAGUGUAUUAUAUUUUUGACCCAUGCAUAUAUAUAUUUUAUGAG